GUGGCCAGCCGCCGCGGUAAUACGGAGGGUGCGAGCGUUAAUCGGAAUUACUGGGCGUAAAGCGUACGCAGGCGGUUUGUUAAGCGAGAUGUGAAAGCCCCGGGCUCAACCUGGGAACUGCAUUUCGAACUGGCAAACUAGAGUGUGAUAGAGGGUGGUAGAAUUUCAGGUGUAGCGGUGAAAUGCGUAGAGAUCUGAAGGAAUACCGAUGGCGAAGGCAGCCACCUGGGUCAACACUGACGCUCAUGUACGAAAGCGUGGGGAGCAAACAGGAUUAGAUACCCGAGUAGUCC
Molecule: ribosomal RNA, 293 nt
Filed under: uncultured bacterium
Lineage: Bacteria
Description: partial 16S ribosomal RNA
Rfam family: Bacterial small subunit ribosomal RNA
Source: RNAcentral